Molecule: ribosomal RNA, 395 nt
Filed under: uncultured bacterium
Lineage: Bacteria
Description: bacterial SSU rRNA
Rfam family: Bacterial small subunit ribosomal RNA
Source: RNAcentral
GUGUCAGCAGCCGCGGUAAUACGGGAGUGGCAAGCGUUAUCCGGAAUUAUUGGGCGUAAAGCGUCCGCAGGCGGCCUUGCAAGUCUGCUGUCAAAGAGUGGAGCUUAACUCCAUAAAGGCAGUGGAAACUGUGAGGCUUGAGUGUGGUAGGGGCAGAGGGAAUUCCCGGUGUAGCGGUGAAAUGCGUAGAUAUCGGGAAGAACACCAGUGGCGAAGGCGCUCUGCUGGGCCAUAACUGACGCUCAUGGACGAAAGCCAGGGGAGCGAAAGGGAUUAGAUACCCCUGUAGUCCUGGCCGUAAACGAUGAACACUAGGUGUCGGGGGAAUCGACCCCCUCGGUGUCGUAGCCAACGCGUUAAGUGUUCCGCCUGGGGAGUACGCACGCAAGUGUGAA